UACGCCCGAUCUCGUCCGAUCUCGGAAGCUAAGCAGGGUCGGGCGUGGUUAGUACUUGGAUGGUAGACCGCCUGGGAAUACCAGGUGCUGUAAGCUU
RNAcentral lists this ribosomal RNA (97 nucleotides) under Triportheus albus. Lineage: Eukaryota; Metazoa; Chordata; Actinopteri; Characiformes; Triportheidae. The record is from RNAcentral.